This 460-nucleotide ribosomal RNA is filed under the name uncultured bacterium. Its description in RNAcentral is "partial 16S ribosomal RNA". It matches the Rfam family "Bacterial small subunit ribosomal RNA", at positions 338 to 795 of the family's 1533-position model. The record is from RNAcentral.
CCUACGGGAGGCAGCAGUGAGGAAUAUUGGGCAAUGGACGAGAGUCUGAACCAGCCAAGUAGCGUGAAGGAUGACGGCCCGAUGGGUGGUAAACUGCGUUUAUAUGGGAAUAAAAUGUUCCACGUGUGGGAUUUUGUAUGUACCAUAUGAAUAAGGAUCGGCUAACUCCGUGCCAGCAGCCGCGGUAAUACGGAGGGUCCGAGCGUUAUCCGGAUUUAUUGGGUUUAAAGGGAGCGUAGGUGGAUUGUUAAGUCAGUUGUGAAAGUUUGCGGCUCAACCGUAAAAUUGCAGUUGAAACUGGCAGUCUUGAGUACAGUAGAGGUGGGCGGAAUUCGUGGUGUAGCGGUGAAAUGCUUAGAUAUCACGAAGAACUCCGAUUGCGAAGGCAGCUCACUGGACUGCAACUGACACUGAGGCUCGAAAGUGUGGGUAUCAAACAGGAUUAGAUACCCCAGUAGUC